This 404-nucleotide ribosomal RNA is filed under the name uncultured bacterium. RNAcentral describes it as "bacterial SSU rRNA". It matches the Rfam family "Bacterial small subunit ribosomal RNA", at positions 355 to 776 of the family's 1533-position model. The record is from RNAcentral.
UAGGGAAUAUUAGUAAUGGGCGAAAGCCUGAACUAGCAACGCCGCGUGUGCGAAGAAGGCCUUCGGGCUGUAAAGCACUUUUUGAGAGGAUGAGGAAGGACGGUACUCUCAGAAUAAGUCUCGGCUAACUACGUGCCAGCAGCCGCGGUAACACGUAGGAGGCAAACGUUAUCCGGAUUUACUGGGCGUAAAGCGCGUGUAGGUGGUUUGGUAAGUAGGGCGUGAAAGCUCCUGGCUCAACUGGGAGAGGCCGUUCUAAACUGCCGAACUAGAGGAUGGUAGAGGGAGGUGGAAUUCCGGGUGUAGCGGUGGAAUGCGCAGAUAUCCGGAGGAACACCAGUGGCGAAAGCGGCCUCCUGGACCAUUCCUGACACUCAGACGCGAAAGCUAGGGUAGCAAACGGG